AGCGAACGCUGGCGGUAGGCCUAACACAUGCAAGUCGAACGAAGUCUUCGGACUUAGUGGCGGACGGGUGAGUAACACGUGGGAACGUGCCUUUAGGUUCGGAAUAACUCAGGGAAACUUGUGCUAAUACCGAAUGUGCCCUUCGGGGGAAAGAUUUGUCGCCUUUAGAGCGGCCCGCGUCUGAUUAGCUAGUUGGUGAGGUAAAGGCUCACCAAGGCGACGAUCAGGAGCUGGUCUGAGAGGAUGACCAGCCACAUUGGGACUGAGACACGGCCCAAACUCCUACGGGAGGCAGCAGUGGGGAAUCUUGCGCAAUGGGCGAAAGCCUGACGCAGCCAUGCCGCGUGAAUGAUGAAGGUCUUAGGAUUGUAAAAUCCUUUCACCGGGGACGAUAAUGACGGUACCCGGAGAAGAAGCCCCGGCUAACUUCGUGCCAGCCGCCGCCGUAA
Molecule: ribosomal RNA, 449 nt
Filed under: uncultured bacterium
Lineage: Bacteria
Description: partial 16S ribosomal RNA
Rfam family: Bacterial small subunit ribosomal RNA
Source: RNAcentral